RNAcentral lists this long non-coding RNA (1739 nucleotides) under Theobroma cacao (cacao). RNAcentral describes it as "long non-coding RNA (TCAC_LNC002088)". The record is from RNAcentral. Lineage: Eukaryota; Viridiplantae; Streptophyta; Magnoliopsida; Malvales; Malvaceae.
UUUAAUACAUGCUUCAUAACUUGAUAAUCACAAAAGUUUGAGAAAAUUUUUUAUAUUGAUUACUAACCCAACUCUUCUCCUUUAUCCUAGCUAGCUACCCAACAUUAAAAAGGGAAACUCUCGACGUCCAUACAUAUACAUACAUGCAUAUAAAUAAGUAGAGAACAUUGCCAUCCUCAAUUUCAUUUUUUAAAAUUUUAAAAGCCAAAGAGGAAAAUAAACGCCUGAUUUCACCAGCAACUUGGGUAAAAAGAAUAACACCUUUCUUCUAAACAAAGAUGGUUGAAAAUUGCCUGCUCAAGUAUUUGUAACUUCUUCCGUUAUUUGUUUUAUUCUCUCAUCUAUCUCCCUGAUCUUCAUGGGGGGUGGUCUGGCUGUGCGAGAGGGAUGACAAAUGUGGAGAGCCCAAUCUUUUAAGCACAAGACAGGGUGAAUUCCAUCAAACCCACUUUUCAGGAUCCAGACUCAUUUAUGAUUUUCGUACUUCUCAGAAGCGGGCUGGGGCUUGUGGAACAGAACGUGGCCAGGGGCAGGGCUCCAAGUUAGAGGCACCAAUGUUUUGAAGUCCAACAAAUGCCACCAAGGGUAGGAAUCAGUCCUCAGUUGGUUUAUUAGCUUAUUUAAGAAAAGUAGGGUUGAUUUUGGUAAAUACCAAGUACAAUUGUUUACAUAAUAAUUUAAAGUAACCUUCUCCAAUCCCCAACAUGAGAGUAUUCCUCUAAUACAAUGGGUCUUAUAAGUAACUAUUUUCAUUCUUAUAAUAUAUUUUUGCUUUCCUCUUGUUAUUGUGUUCUUAUGCAAGAGCGACUAACUGUGACUUGAAAUCUCUUUUUCUUAGUCUCAAUUUGCAAUGAACCCCUUGGUAUGCUAAUAUCACAGAAGCUUCCUUCAACACCUUUUUUUGUUUUCCGCCAACCAUUACCAUAUCCAUAUUGAUUAUUGAACUAUCCUCUUAUAGUGUUUCCACAUGGCGUAGAAGGCAAAGGCGUCCCUCUCUUUGCCAUUUCACAGGCCUUUAAUCCAAUAAUACUAUACAAUAUCGACAACCCAAAUUGCUCCAUCCUUCAUCUCUAAGUUUGAACAGCUAAGCACGCUUGUGCAUUUUCUUCCCACUGUUCAUAAUACUACUACUUUCCUCCAAAUGAUUGUUUAUUCUUUCUUUCCUUAAAGUCGGCAUUGAUAAAUUUUUAGCAUUCCUUCUACAACAAGGUUCAAUAUUAAAAAAGAUAGAUUCUCUAUGUAAACAGAUAAAAUCUAAUGGAUCACCAAAUUCUACGGUUCACCAGACACACAGCUGUGUAUUUCCGUGCCCCUUUGCCAUAGGCAGGAAGGUUUCAACCAAGCAGGUUUCACAACCUCUCCCGACCCCUUCCUUUUCCUUUUAUCCAACAAGAAUCCAUCAAUAUACGGGCUAAGUCAAUUUUGCAAACAACUUUAGGUAGGUGCUUACCUGUUAAGGUAACAGCCAGCAGAAGAUUGCGAAAGAGGCGUAACAUGGAACAAAUGCACAUGGUCAAGAACAAAUGCACGUGGUUUAUACCCACCAUUAUAUGGAUAUAACAUCAGCCAGACAUCCAAAGAACUAAACAAAACUAUUUUUCAAAAUAAACUGUGAUAAUAUAGUUUUGCUAAUUAUAUACAGGAAUUGAAUGAGAAGGAUUGACAAUGAUGGAGUAGAUCCUUCGGGGACCCCAGAAUAUUGACAGCAGAAGAUUUAGAAGAGAGCUGGAAAGAGGAAG